Molecule: transfer RNA, 69 nt
Filed under: Eurystomus orientalis
Lineage: Eukaryota; Metazoa; Chordata; Aves; Coraciiformes; Coraciidae
Description: tRNA-Glu
Source: RNAcentral
GUGCAUGUGUGUUCCUGUAGUUAAGAUUUGGUUUAACGGUGGCUUUUCGGGCCACAGACCUUGGAAAAA